This is a long non-coding RNA of Labeo rohita (rohu), 1247 nucleotides long. RefSeq lists it as uncharacterized. The record is from RefSeq and is a predicted model, not a curated record. Lineage: Eukaryota; Metazoa; Chordata; Actinopteri; Cypriniformes; Cyprinidae. The transcript is spliced from 9 exons.
GUAGUUUGAGUUUAGUUUCAGAUUAGAGGUUGUUGUCGCUGUAGUUUGAGUUUAGUUUCAGAUUAGAGGUUGUCAUCAAUGUAGUUUGAGUUUAGUUUCAGAUUAGAGGUUGUCAUCAAUGUAGUUUGAGUUUAGUUUCAGAUUGGAGGUUGUUGUCGAUGUAGUUUGAGUUUAGUUUCAGAUUAGAGGUUGUCAUCAAUGUAGUUUGAGUUUAGUUUCAGAUUGGAGGUUGUUGUCGCUGUAGUUUGAGUUUAGUUUCAGAUUGGAGGUUGUUGUCGCUGUAGUUUGAGUUUAGUUUCAGAUUGGAGGUUGUUGUCGCUGUAGUUUGAGUUUAGUUUCAGAUUGGAGGUUGUUGUCAAUGUAGUUUGAGUUUAGUUUCAGAUUAGAGGUUGUCAUCAAUGUAGUUUGAGUUUAGUUUCAGAUUGGAGGUUGUUGUCGCUGUAGUUUGAGUUUAGUUUCAGAUUGGAGGUUGUUGUCGCUGUAGUUUGAGUUUAGUUUCAGAUUGGAGGUUGUCAUCAAUGUAGUUUGAGUUUAGUUUCAGAUUAGAGGUUGUCAUCAAUGUAGUUUGAGUUUAGUUUCAGAUUAGAGGUUGUCAUCAAUGUAGUUUGAGUUUAGUUUCAGAUUAGAGGUUGUCAUCAAUGUAGUUUGAGUUUAGUUUCAGAUUAGAGGUUGUCAUCAAUGUAGUUUGAGUUUAGUUUCAGAUUAGAGGUUGUCAUCAAUGUAGUUUGAGUUUAGUUUCAGAUUAGAGGUUGUCAUCAAUGUAGUUUGAGUUUAGUUUCAGAUUAGAGGUUGUCAUCAAUGUAGUUUGAGUUUAGUUUCAGAUUAGAGGUUGUCAUCAAUGUAGUUUGAGUUUAGUUUCAGAUUGGAGGUUGUCAUCAAUGUAGUUUGAGUUUAGUUUCAGAUUAGAGGUUGUCAUCAAUGUAGUUUGAGUUUAGUUUCAGAUUAGAGGUUGUCAUCAAUGUAGUUUGAGUUUAGUUUCAGAUUGGAGGUUGUCAUCAAUGUAGUUUGAGUUUAGUUUCAGAUUAGAGGUUGUCAUCAAUGUAGUUUGAGUUUAGUUUCAGAUUGGAGGUUGUCAUCAAUGUAGUUUGAGUUUAGUUUCAUAUUGGAGGUUGUUGUCGCUGUAGUUUGAGUUUAGUUUCAGAUUAGAGGUUGUCAUCAAUGUAGUUUGAGUUUAGUUUCAGAUUAGAGGUUGUCAUCAAUGUAGUUUGAGUUUAGUUUCAGAUUGGAGGUUGUUGUCGCUGUAGUUU